RNAcentral lists this ribosomal RNA (588 nucleotides) under uncultured bacterium. Its description in RNAcentral is "bacterial SSU rRNA". It matches the Rfam family "Bacterial small subunit ribosomal RNA", at positions 338 to 916 of the family's 1533-position model. The record is from RNAcentral.
CCUACGGGAGGCAGCAGUGGGGAAUUUUGGACAAUGGGCGCAAGCCUGAUCCAGCCAUUCCGCGUGAGUGAAGAAGGCCUUCGGGUUGUAAAGCUCUUUCGCAAGGGAAGAAAACUUAGAUACUAAUAUUAUCUGAGGUUGACGGUACCUUGAUAAGAAGCACCGGCUAACUACGUGCCAGCAGCCGCGGUAAUACGUAGGGUGCGAGCGUUAAUCGGAAUUACUGGGCGUAAAGCGUGCGCAGGCGGUUUUGUAAGUCAGAUGUGAAAUCCCCGAGCUCAACUUGGGAACUGCGUUUGAAACUACAAGACUAGAAUAUGUCAGAGGGGGGUAGAAUUCCACGUGUAGCAGUGAGAUGCGUAGAGAUGUGGAGGAAUACCAAUGGCGAAGGCAGCCCCCUGGGAUAAUAUUGACGCUCAUGCACGAAAGCGUGGGGAGCAAACAGGAUUAGAUACCCUGGUAGUCCACGCCCUAAACGAUGUCUACUAGUUGUUGGUGGAGUAAAAUCCAUGAGUAACGCAGCUAACGCGUGAAGUAGACCGCCUGGGGAGUACGGUCGCAAGNUUAAAACUCAAAUGAAAUUGACGG